This 253-nucleotide ribosomal RNA is filed under the name uncultured bacterium. Its description in RNAcentral is "partial 16S ribosomal RNA". It matches the Rfam family "Bacterial small subunit ribosomal RNA", at positions 524 to 776 of the family's 1533-position model. RNAcentral also lists the same sequence under 2 other names. The record is from RNAcentral.
UACAGAGGGGGCAAGCGUUAUUCGGAAUUAUUGGGCGUAAAGGGCGCGUAGGCGGUUUUUUAAGUCGGAUGUGCAAUCCCUGGGCUCAACCCAGGAACUGCAUCCGAGACUGGAAGGCUAGAGUACUGGAGAGGGUGGUGGAAUUCCUCGUGUAGCGGUGAAAUGCGUAGAGAUGAGGAGGAACACCAGUGGCGAAGGCGGCCACCUGGACAGUAACUGACGCUGAGGCGCGAAAGCGUGGGUAGCAAACAGG